RNAcentral lists this unclassified non-coding RNA (337 nucleotides) under soil metagenome. Its description in RNAcentral is "partial contains 5.8S ribosomal RNA, internal transcribed spacer 2, and large subunit ribosomal RNA". The stretch from base 1 to 120 matches the Rfam family "5.8S ribosomal RNA", at positions 35 to 154 of the family's 154-position model. The record is from RNAcentral.
GAUGAAGAACGCAGCGAAAUGCGAUAAGUAAUGUGAAUUCCAGAAUUCAGUGAAUCAUCGAAUCUUUGAACGCACAUUGCGCCCGCCAGUAUUCUGGCGGGCAUGCCUGUUCGAGCGUCAUUUUGACCAUCAAGCUCUGCUUGUGUUGGGGUCCUGCGGCUGCCCGCAGGCCCUGAAACCCAGUGGCGGGCUCGCUAGUCACACCGAGCGCAGUAGCACAUCUCGCUCAGGGCGUGCGGCGGGUUCUUGCCGUAAAACAACCCCCCCUUUUCACCAAGGUUGACCUCGGAUCAGGUAGGAAUACCCGCUGAACUUAAGCAUAUCAAUAAGCGGAGGA